RNAcentral lists this long non-coding RNA (6217 nucleotides) under Homo sapiens (human). Its description in RNAcentral is "HSALNT0149661". The record is from RNAcentral. Lineage: Eukaryota; Metazoa; Chordata; Mammalia; Primates; Hominidae.
UAUUUUUACUGACCCUUAAAUUCUUCAUAAGUAACUGCAAAAGAAGCCAUUAUCCCAACACAUGAAAUAAAAAAAAAAUUCAGUUCCUCUGGAGUUUGUUUUUGGAGGUAGCCACAGGAUACCUAAAUUUUUUUUUCUUUUCAGAGAGACCGAGGGGCUCACUAGGUUGACCAGGCUGGUCUUGAACUCCUGGCCUCAAGCCAUCCUCCCACCUCAGCCUCCCAAAGUGCUGGGAUUACAUGCAUGAGCCACCACAUCCAGCCUCCCUAAAAUAUUGAAUGCUGUUAAUAAAUCUCCUAAGAAGGUGAUGGGCAAAACUAAUGCAGGGUUUCAGUUGUGCAAUUUCACCAUUAGCAAAGCUUUUUGCUGAAAUCUGGAUUUUCAAAGGGAGAGUAUCCAGAAACAGAAGAUGCUGAUCUGGGAGGCUCUUCCUAAUAGAACUGCUGCUUCAGUUUAGCUUGAAAAAGCCCACACUCAGUUCCUAAUGACAAACAUCUGAACACCAGGUCUUCCCACGAGCAAGACCAUGCUAUUCCUCCUGCUCGCUCUGUUCUAUAAGCAACCCACAGAUUGCUCCCUGUGAAGAGGAGCCUGCCAGGGAGCAGCAUUCCACCAGAUCCUGAUUUAGCAAGAUAUUUCCGUAUCAUUCCCCCAACCAGCUGGAAGUCCUCCACUGUUCUUGUGUAAAAAUCUAACUCAUCUCGCUGAAUUUCCUGAUUUAAAAGUCUAAUUCAUUUCACCAAAAGUGUGACAGAAGGAAACCAAGUACACCAUCUCUCUCUUACCAAACCAAAGCUAUUGCAUGUGCAUUCUGGGAGAAAAAAAUGGUCCAAAUAUGUUAUGGAGGGGGUGCCAGCCCAGUGUCAUCCUCUUACUAUUGCCAUAGGAUCUUGGCUGAUGGCAUCAGAAGAAAAACAAGUUUAUCGAUUACUUUCAACCAUUAAGCUCACUCCUCCAUGAAAAAUAAGUCACAAGUCCAAUGUCUCUUAUUAAAAUAAGCACUGCAAAAUAUAAAGGACUCACAGUUUUAAAAUGGGACACACGUUCUCUAAGCGGUGAACCACUUUAGAGGUGUACUGUUUACAUUGUAUAAAGUCCCCUGGAGCCAGGGUUAGGAAGCGCAUCUGUUCUUUGGUGUUCUGGGAUGAAGGAGAAAGGAAAAUGUGCUGCCAGAAGUGAGUGGGAAGGAGCCCAUGAGAUAAAGGAAGUAAAUCCAUUUGCUGAUUGCAAUAAUAAUGGUCAUCCUCCGAAUGAAUUUAUAUUACCGAGUGGAGGGUCACAUGAAGAAAAUGGUCAAACAGCACCACCUACAGCAAGAGCUGAGAAGUGCAGCGGAGCCGGGCUGAGUCAGGAAAGAAAAGCAAGCUGGGGCCUGGCUCAGAGCUCUCCCCUCUGCUCCUGUCUGCACGGAAAGAUUAGGAUGACAGUGGCAGGAAGCCUGUGCACCUAGUAUGCAUCACUUGAAGGGAACACACAGAUUCCAGUAAACAGUUGGAAGGAAAUGUUAAUACCAGGCUCUGCUAAACAAUAUGAAAUGACUCCUAGAUGAGACAAGUGACUUUCAUCAAAGUUUCCUGAUACCUGAAAAGAUAGCCCAGGUGAUCCUGCACUACAUCUGCUGUAUGUAAAUUAAGCGGGUUUUUUUCCCCUUUGUAAUCAAGGCUCAUACACAAACAAAAUCACACUUUAGAAACGGCUUAUUUCAACUUGUAACUAGCUUGCUUUCAGGGGCUCCAGGUCAAAAAGAAAUAGAGCACAAAGACGCUUUCUCCUUAGGGAUCAUACACAAAUUCACUCUGUCCGUUUCUUUCCCACAUGGAGCAACAAAGCCAUCAGACCUCUCCAUCCACCCAUCGGGUCCUUCCUGAUUAAAGUGAGAUAAAUCACAGCCCUCUCUCUCCAGAUGGCAGGCGACAAGAGGGGGAUGCUUGCCUCAAGAAGUCCUCCCCAUCCCUCUGCAUUCAUGCAAGCCCGAGCGGAGAGAUGCAAGAAAUUAUGGAUGCAUUUUAAUUGCCCAGACCCUGCAAUUAAAAAUGGAAAUUUUUUGGCCACGCGUGUUGGCUCACGCCUGUAAUCCCAGCACUUUCGGAGGCCGAGGUCGGCGGAUCAUUUGGGGUCAGGAGUUCGAGACCAGCCUGGCCAACAUGGUGAAACCCUGUCUCUACUGAAAAUACAAAAAUUAGCUAGGAAUGGUGGUGGGAGCCUGUCGUCCCAGCUACUCGGGAGGAUGAGGCAGGAGAAUCACUUGAACCCGGGAGGCAAAGUUUGCAGUGAGCCAAGAUCGCACCACUGCACUCCACUCUGGGUGACAAAGCAAGACUUCAUCUCAAAAAAUGUUUUUUAAAAAUGGAAGUGUUGUUCUUUCAUUUGUAAAUGUGUUUUGGUAAAAGAGGGGCAGUUUAAGCAACCCUUUUUUGUUGUCUACAUUGUUAAAAUUCAUCAGACAUGGACUCUUGACUCCGUUUUGCCUGGGCAGACCCAAUUCAAGCAUUUACAACAGCUAUAACUUCCUCAAAUCAAAAAGAGGAAUCAGCAUUAUUGCUAAGUUCAAAUAAGGUCUUGUUUUAUUUCAUUUUUAUUUUUGAAUGCAGCCAUUCCUCCAGGUGCUAUCAUCAGGUAAGAUUGUCAGUCCUGAUUAGGUAAAGGUAUUAUUACAAAAUGCAAUUCUUAAAAAUUCAGUGUCUAACUACACUUUUAAUAAGCCUUUCCCCCUCCCCUAUGUAUUCUCCCUUAGACACCCCUUCUCAAAUUUAAAAUCACAGAAACUAAAAUAUGAUGCCUAAAGAGAGCCUAGCAACUGCCCAGUCCUCUAAUUUGAUGAGUGGGAGUACUGAAGCCCAGAGGAGGUCAAGUAAUUUGUUCCCAAUGUCUUAGAUAAGAAGAAAAUGACCAGCUGGGAAAUCCCACUCAUGUCAAGGCAGAGGCACAGGGCCACAGACUGUGGUUGAAUUGUGCCACACUCCUACAUCCUUCUUUAGGAAUCACAGAACAUUCCUGUGUUGAGUUGGAGUCACUGACUUCCUUUUCAGGCUGAUUGAGUUCUGUCCUUACAGGCUGCGACAAGAAGUUUUGGUAUUAUGCUACACCAAGACCAUUUAUCUAGUUCAAGAAAUGAGCACAGUCCUUAGAGCCCAGCAACUUUCCCCAUGUCCAGUAAAUGUAGCUUCUCCAUUAGAAGCUGUCAGAAUGGAGCCUUCUGGCUCAUCUUGAUUUUGAUUUGUGCAAGAAUGAAUGGUUGUGCUAAGACAGCUUUCCUAGCUGAUAGUGAGCAAAACUUUUUUCUCAUAAUCUAUAAAAAAAUAUUAAAUUAGAAGCACAGAGUUUAUUUCAUGACUUUUAUCUUCCUGCAAUUUUCUUAUGGGCAUAAAUGAUUUGUUUUUAUCCUGCCUGCCCCCCCAAUCCCUUUUCCAAGAGACUAAAAGAGUAUCUAGUGCAAAGUAGAUACUCAAAUAUUUUUUAAUAAACAGUGAUCCCAGCCACCCAGUGCAUGUUGCCAAAUGCCAACCCCAUAAAUGAUCAAACACAUCAUCUCAUUCAGCCAAUCAAAAUCAAGUGCUACCUAUUUUUUUAAGUUUUCAUAGCCCUUGGGCAUCUGCUUUCUCAGCAUUUCCCAAACUUGAGUCAUUCUCAUCCUGCCUUCAUAAUUUUGCUCUGUCAAUUACCUCUACUAUUAUUUAUUUCAUAUAUUUUUAAAUAGCCCCACUUUUGAAACUUAAAUACAUGCCUUUUAAAAGGAAGCUUUCUUACUACUAUACAUCAAAAGCCAUUAUUACUUGUUCUAAGUACUCAUAACAACAUAUUCACAACUAUUAAAAUUUAGUAAUGUGCAUCCACAUACUCUCUAAAUUCAUGGAGCAUCUGCACACACUUUAAGAAACAAUUCUGCAUUACUCACUCAAUUUUCUUGACAUCCUUCUGAGGCAGGACAAACCUUGGGCCCAAAGAAUUGAGGUAGGAGUCCAAGCAAGUUGCCAGCCACAUAAAGGCAAACCUUGGCUCGGAAGUCAGGACCUAGGUUAUGGUUCAUGCUCUUUCCUCUGCUCUCCAGAACCUCCUAUCUCCAAGUGUAGUUAGCAGCCCAGAUGCAGCAGCAUCCCCUAGAGACUUGUUAAAAAUGCAGAAGCUCAGGCUCCACCCCAGGCCUAUGCAGACUGAAUCUGCAUUUUAACAAGGUCCAGGUAAUUCACGUGCACAUUAAGUUUGAAAAGGCCUGGUCUAGAUCAGCAGUUCUCUAACUUAGCAGCACAUUAGAACCAUCUGUAGAGACUUUAAAAAUACCAGUGCCUGGGCUUCAUCUCCCGGAGAAUCUGAUUUAAGUGUCUGGGGUUUGCCCUGAGUCUAGGUAUUUUUUAGAACUCCUCAGCUUAUACAAAGCUGGCAGGGCCGGGCACAGUGGCUCAUGCCUAUAAUCCCAGCACUUCGUGAGGCCAAAGUGGGCAGAUUGCUUGAGUCCAGGAGUUUGAGACUAGCCCGGGCUAAAACCCCAUCCCUACAAAAAAAAAAAUACAAAAAGUAGUUGGGCAUGGUGGUGGCACAUACCUGUAGUCCCGGCUACUCAGGAGGCUGAGUCCUCGCUUGAACCCAGGAGGUCACGGUCUGGUCAACAGAGCAAGACCCUGUAUCAAAACAAACAAACAAAAAAUGCUAGCAGCUUACCAGCUAGGGAGGCCUGUACAGCCAAGUUUUCCAAAUGGGGCUACAUUAGUUGUUCCAGAACUUUAGCUGCAUCAAAACCACCUGGAUGGCUUGUUCAGCUACAGAGGGUCUGGCCAUGCCCCUAGAGUUUCCAGCUGAGGGUCUGGAAUGAGGCCCGAUGAUUUGCAUUUCUAACAAUCUCCAGGCGAUGCUAAUGCUGUGGGUCCAGGGACCACAUUUUGAGAAUCUAUGCUAAAUGAACCGGACAAGAUCAAAGCUCAAACUUAUUCCAAGAACUUUUCAAGGCCCACCUGCAAGUUGUAGUGGAAGUAAGCAUCUAAGGGUGCAAAAAAGUUUCACUGUAGACUAAGGCCUUUUACCUGAGCUCUCAAAUGUUCACAUUUCUCUUAUCAACCUAAAUAACAAACAGAGAGAGGCUCUCCACAAGAAAAAGAUAUUCGUUUGGAAACAGAGCCUUGCAAUAGAAAUAGGCAAGCCAGAGUAAACUAUAUGCAUAUUCACGGAGGUAAAGGAAGACAAAAGAAAAAAUGAGGAAGAUUAUAUGAUCAUUUGGAAAUGAUUAUCCUUGGCUACAAAGAUCAAUAACAAAGGUGAUGCCAGGCCCAGGUUGGACAGGCAGUUGUUGGACAAAUAUCCUUCAGAAGCAUUGUUGUGUGCAAAGUUGCGAUGGGCUUUGUGCAAGAUUGUGUUUUUUGCAGUCUUCUGUGAUAAGUUUUUGUUAUCAGGCAUACAAGCCCAAGAAUCCUUUUUUGCAUGGCCUUCCCUGGCUCUAUUUGUCAGGGUUUUGGUUAGGGGAGGGGUAUUUUUAACACUCUCAAUGUAAAAAAUGCCAUAAGGUAGGUACCCCAAUUGCUUGUUUCGUCUUCAUAAAAUAACUUUUCCACCCGAACAAAGUCUACACAUAAAUUGUAAAAAUACCCUGGCAUGCAGUCCCUGGAAAAGUUUGGAGUCAUUCUCGGGGUUCCCACCCAGGUGGGCGAGUGUAGCCACCACAGAUAAACACAAAGUAGGGGUGCCCGCUGGGGUUUGGUGGCAGGCAGUGGCCCUGGUUGGUAUAUUUGGCUGAAAACACAGCUCCUCUUUGUCACCCUCAGGAAGCCAUCCCAAACCGCUCGAGGAGUCCUUGAAGCCAAUGUUACCACUAGGGCAGCAAGUUUGCCUGAAAGCUAUUUGCCUUUGCAGCAGAUUCAUUAAGCCAGAACAAAGAGAAGACCAAUGACUAAAAGAUUUCUCUCCUUUUAAAAAUCAUGCUCUUUAACUCAUAGCACAUUUUCAUUGUCCAUCUGGGCAAAGCCGCUGUCUCAUUUUGCUUUUUCCCUCGUCUGUGAUGCUCACACUCAUCCUCCCUAUCCCAUCAGCAACCUCUCUAGUAUGUUUGAUAUGUGUCCUUAAACUUUAUAUCUUGGCCGGGGGCGCGGUGGCUGUAAUCUCAGCACUUUGGGAGAUGGAGGUGGGUCUAUCACUUGAGCCCAGGAGUUUGAGAUCAGCCUGAGCAACAUAGUAAGAUUUCAUCUUUACUAAAAAUAAAAAACAAAAAAAAUUUAGCGAGGUAUGGUGGCCU